UAACGCGUGAGGAACCUGCCUCAAAGAGGGGGACAACAGUUGGAAACGACUGCUAAUACCGCAUGAAGCAUAGGGGUCGCAUGAUCUUUAUGCCAAAGAUUUAUCGCUUCAAGAUGGCCUCGCGUCUGAUUAGCUAGUUGGCGGGGUAACGGCCCACCAAGGCGACGAUCAGUAGCCGGACUGAGAGGUUGAACGGCCACAUUGGGACUGAGAUACGGCCCAG
This 223-nucleotide ribosomal RNA is filed under the name uncultured bacterium. RNAcentral's name for it is "partial 16S ribosomal RNA". It matches the Rfam family "Bacterial small subunit ribosomal RNA", at positions 111 to 334 of the family's 1533-position model. The record is from RNAcentral.